UAGUUGCAUUUUAUUUUCAGCUGCAUCUUUUAUGUUUGCUUAUGUUAUUUACUGUGUACUUGAGAAAAAACUGUCUACUUUAAUUGAUUUUGUAACGGAACGGAAUCAAUGAGUUAAGUAGAUCUGAUCACACAGUAGUGUAAAAAAUGACGCUUUUCGCCAUAGUUUUAGAUUUUCGGAUAGAAUUAUUUUCUAUAUUAUUUUAAAAUUAUUUGACAUCUACCCUAUAUCCCUUGUUUUAAAUUUAUUGACUGGACUUUUAACUAUUCAAAUCGUGAACUUUUUUUACAAUUCUACCCUCAGUUUAGAAUAUUUUCUUUUUAAAUAAUGAUUCUACUUGAGUAAGCAAAUUAUUAUAUUUGCUGCCUCUUUGAAUGAAAGGUGGCCUUAUUAUUCUCUAAAUCUAUGAUAAGGCCUAUUAUGAUUGAAAGUAUGAAAGAUUUUUGCAAGAGAAGUAUGAAUGUGUAUGUAGUUUCUUUUAGUUAUGAAGAAGUAUUAGUUAAGCUGCGGAUUUUGACUUUUAGGAGGUCAAAAUCCUUGGGCAGAAAGGGGGGUAAUGUAACGUUAUUUAUUUCUUCCAAAUAAAUAACUUACAUCAUAGUAAUUAACUUAAUAAUUUUAUUGUAAAUUCCCUUUUUUAAAGUAUCGACUUUAUCGAUAACUUAAUCUUCGGCGUCGAUAAUUCUUCAAAUUAUCGACGCGUUCCCAUCCCUAGUCAGCGAAGCGGUCUUUUGUUCUUGUCCCCACUAUCGCGGCAGCCCCACUCAGUGACCACUGGCUCUCGAUCAUUCGUCCACGGGCUACGGCAUCGACUGCGCGUGACCCUACCUCACGGCAGUCCUCUAGGUGCCUAGCCCGCUCUAAAGUGUCGAAUGACCUAGACUUUACCAGUGGUACCUUGUGCGUGUCUUCCCCAAUAUCGGGGUCCAAGGUCCACGCUACUACUCCAAGGUCCACGCUUACGUCCACGGUACGGUUUACCGACUGCACGGAACUACCUACUUCUACGGCUCGCCCUCUACGUGCUGGUUCGGCAACCCCCUACCUUCGUGUUGCUGACCACGCCGUGCAGCCGAGCUACACGCCACGCGCACGCAACGGCCACGUGACCUGCCUGCCUACCUACCUGGGCACUGGAGAAGAGGACUUCCACGCCGGUCACGUUAUCGGGGUUCCACGCCGAUACUCUUCGACUCAGGGGAGUCCCUAUCCGUGCCAACUGAAAACUGACUGAUCGUGUAGUGUAGGCCUAACCCACGUUGACCUAUAAAUAAAUUUGUGUCAAGCUGAA
This is a long non-coding RNA of Plutella xylostella (diamondback moth), 1291 nucleotides long. RefSeq lists it as uncharacterized. Lineage: Eukaryota; Metazoa; Arthropoda; Insecta; Lepidoptera; Plutellidae. The record is from RefSeq and is a predicted model, not a curated record.